Jaculus jaculus (lesser Egyptian jerboa) is the source of this 3034-nucleotide long non-coding RNA. RefSeq lists it as uncharacterized. NCBI's taxonomy places the organism in Eukaryota, Metazoa, Chordata, Mammalia, Rodentia, Dipodidae. The transcript is spliced from 3 exons. The record is from RefSeq and is a predicted model, not a curated record.
ACUGUCACUCUUACCACAGGUCCCGCGCAAGGAGUCUGUCACCAGGGAGCAGGGCUGCAGGACCUGGCCGGGUUCCUUCGCACCACGUAGCGGGUCUACCGUCUGCGGGAGGACAGACCUGAAGGGACCCGGAGAGUUUGCCAGUCAAAGAGGGGUCGCCACCCACCCAUCCACCCUCCCUCCACGCUCCCAGAAAGAGGAGUCUUGGAAAUAUCCACUGCCACCCCCCCCCCAAAAAAAGCUGCAGUCUGUCCAAACUCACGGCGGAUGGAGCUGCGGAAAGUUCCCUCCUCUUCGUCAGGUUCUCCAGUUCUGGAAAGGGACAGGCAGAAUAGAAGGGGCUUGGGAUCGUCCGGGACAGACAGUCGCUUCCCGGACACCCCUCCCAACCCAGCGCAGGCCUCUCGUUUCCCCGCACUGCACCGCUGGACCGCGGGUCUUCCAACCGGGAGCGCCCCAGAGCCGCUAGAGGAUGCUGCGGGGGUCGGGGGACCGUGAGUACCGCUGGCGAUGCUGUGGGAGGGGCGCAGAGACCCGUGGGGCAUGGCUGGAAAACUCAGAAACCUCAUCUUCCUAUGAGUCCUCCUAAGUGAUCCAACAAGCCCUCCGUGCCUCAGUUUCCUUAACUGUAAAAUGGGGCGGAUAAUGGGCACCAGUCCCAUGGAGGCAGCAGCGUGAGGGGCAAAUGAAAUUACAUGGAAGGCUGGCGUGAGGUGCAUACCCAGUGCACUUAGGAUGGCAUCUAUAACCGUUCUACCUAACAGGCAGGAAGUAGUCAUCCCCACGAUUCCUGCGCUUUAAACGUUUAUUUCGAGACGAAUCCAAGUGCCAGGAGCUGGCCUCCGAGCUAAACUGGGCGGCUGUGUGAGGUGAUCUCAUUUCUGCACCGCCUGCCGCCCAGCGCUUCGCCUGAUCUCGCUGUGCGACUCUCCAUCUGCGGGGCUGACAGAGCCCCUUGCCGGCAAUGCGCGGGAUUAGUGGGACCCAUGGACAGCGCCCCCCGCAGGCAGGGCGCGGGGCUGGUGGAACCCUCGGCCGCCGGCAGGGCGUGGGCUUUACACAUCUCUUUGGCCCAACGCCUGGCUUGGAACGAGGCAUACAGUUGACUACCACUUCAGCAACCAAGGAACCAGCCUCCGUCCACUCCCUGGUCUGGCUGUCCAGAGCAUCUUUUCCCCUCCCCUAAAUGCCAGCCACGACACAACUCAUACAGGAGACCCCCAGUUUCCUGUGCCACUUGGGGGUUCCUUCAGCUUUGGGUCUCGCAGUUGGAUUUUUCCUACCUCUGCCAUUCUUGGGGCCCGAGGCGGAUACCAGGCUGCCUCCCCUGGACUCACCUGUGCUGGCCAUGGCAAAGAGACCCACGAGGACAACCGAGAUGGGGCUGAGAGACGCCAUUGUUCUGAGGAGACAACCAAAGUCAGAAAUUGCGUACUUUCCUCCCCUCCCACGCAGGGGCCUGAACUCAGUCACAAACGUGUCAGGCAUGUAGCGUAGUUGACUGAGAGACAAGACAUCCCGGCUUCACAGGAACCAAGCCACCAAAACAACAUGCAGGCCCCCAGAGUUCUCACACCUAGCCUAGCAAGGGAGGCAGGACACCACGGGCAGGUGGAGGCAGACACUUCCAAGCAGGGGGCGCGCCCCAGCCCCGCCUGCCUCCCAGUCCGCAGUGGGACUCCCCGUGUGCUGUGCAGUCCUGGCUCUCCUGCCCCGGGCUGCUUGCCCGCCAGCCCGCUCACUUGCUCUCUGCCUGGCCCUGGGUAUAAAUAUCUCCCAUUUCACCCAGGAGGAAUUCGCCGCACACAGGCCACCAUGGCAACAGCUUUCCUUCGCCUGACUUUGGGGGUCAUGUACAACCCUGCUGGGGUGAGGCCCAGGCUGGAGCCACAUUGCUACCGCCUUCCCCCCACCCCCCGCAAGGGGUCCAGCCCCCCUUCUCCUCUCCUGGAAGUUAGGAGUAAAGGGGGAAACACCCUCUCUGCCCACUUCUGGAUAACAUCUUUCAUAACAGGACAACACCAGACGAGUGAUGAGGGGCCCAUGCCAGUGGGCCUGAAAGAAGACAGAUGUCUGGUUCAGACACACACACGCAUACACACAUGUACGCACAUACACAUGUAUGCACACACACACAUACACACAGAGCGGAUGGGGCUGGCACUGGACAGACAACACCCUCUACCCCCAAAUUGCUGGUGGGAGGAAAGUGAGGUGUAGAUAUGCCCCUCCUCUAGGUCUCCUGUGCCCCAAACAGUGAUACAAGCAGACCUACACACUACACACGUGAGUGUCCAAGCCCCACACCCAGCCAGGGGGUCUUACGCAGCAGAGGCAGCAGCAGAAGCAGAGAAGGGGGGAGUCACAGGCUCCCUCCACCCCUGCAACCCAGCUCUCCCCACACACUCCUCCUCCUUGGGUCUGGCCAGCCUGGGAAACCAGGGGCUGGCCACUCCUGUUCCCAAAAUAGGCCACCCAGCCAGGGAAGGAGAAAGGUCUAGAGAAAGGGGUGGGGGAUGCUCACCGUGUUCAGGCUGUCCCCUGCUGUUAGAAGGCCCCCAAAUGUCUGGCUAGGCCCCUGGGGGCUGAGCACUUUGGACCCCCUGGCCCAGAACUGGACGCCCCGCCUCCGCAGGCUCCCCUCCUGGCCCCACCCUGCCCUUACCCUCCCCAACCAGCAGCUGUAACUGGAGCCCAGGCUGGAGGGGGGCCAGGGGGCGGCCCCCAGCCCAGACUGGCCCACUAGGUUAACUCUCUCAGCUCAGCCUGAGGAGCGCCAGGCAUGUGGACUGUACUGUGGACACACAGGCAUGCAGGGGUGUACACACACACACACACAUAUUGACUCUUCCUUUGGCCCAGAGCUUUUGGGCUGGGGAGAGAGAAUGAUUUCAACAGGGCUCCCUGGGAAUGGGGCCCAGCUGGGGCCUAAGGUCACUAAGCUCCAUCCCUUGGGCACCCACUGACCUCUGACCAUAGUGUUCUAUGGAGCCCUUGAUAGUAUGCAGGGGAUAUUUUUAAAAAUUUAUUUGUU